RNAcentral lists this ribosomal RNA (1932 nucleotides) under human gut metagenome. RNAcentral describes it as "bacterial LSU rRNA". It matches the Rfam family "Bacterial large subunit ribosomal RNA", at positions 3 to 1988 of the family's 2925-position model. The record is from RNAcentral.
UCAAGCGACUAAGUGUAUGUGGUGGAUGCCUUGGCGAUUACAGGCGAAGAAGGACGUCGCAGCCUGCGAAAAGCCGUGGGGAGCUGGCAAGCGAGCACUGAUCCACGGAUGUCCGAAUGAGGGAACUCACCCGCAAGGGUAUCUUGAAGUGAAUACAUAGCUUCAAGAGGCGAACGCAGCGAACUGAAACAUCUAAGUAGCUGCAGGAAAAGAAAUCAACCGAGAUUCUGAAAGUAGCGGCGAGCGAAAUUGGAAGAGCCUGCAAGUGAUAUUGAAUUCGAUACUGGAACGGUCUGGAAAGUCCGGCUACAGAGGGUGACAGCCCCGUACGGGAAAUUGGGUUCAAGGUACUGAGCUUGCGAGAAGUAGAGCGGGACACGUGAAAUCCUGCUCGAAGAUGGGGGGACCAUCCUCCAAGGCUAAAUACUCGUAAUCGACCGAUAGCGAACCAGUACUGUGAAGGAAAGGCGAAAAGAACCCCGGGAGGGGAGUGAAAUAGAUCCUGAAACCGCAUACAUACAAACAGUAGGAGCCCGCAAGGGUGACUGCGUACCUUUUGCAUAAUGGGUCAGCGACUUACGUUCAAUGGCAAGCUUAACCGAGUAGGGGAGGCGCAGCGAAAGCGAGUCCGAACAGGGCGAUAUGAGUCGUUGGGCGUAGACCCGAAACCAGAUGAUCUAUCCAUGGCCAGGCUGAAGGUGUGGUAACACACACUGGAGGGCCGAACCGACUAGUGUUGCAAAAUUAGCGGAUGAGCUGUGGAUAGGGGUGAAAGGCUAAACAAAUCUGGAGAUAGCUGGUUCUCCCCGAAAACUAUUGAGGUAGUGCCUCGUGUAUGGCUCCAGGGGGUAGAGCACUGUUAUGGCUAGGGGGACAUGGCGUCUUACCAAACCAUGGCAAACUCCGAAUACUUGGAAGUCUGAGCACGGGAGACAGAGCACCGGGUGCUAACGUCCGGACUCAAAAGGGAAACAACCCAGACCGCCGGCUAAGGUCCCUAAUAUUGACUAAGUGGAAAACGAAGUGGGAAGGCUAAGACAGUCAGGAAGUUGGCUUAGAAGCAGCCAUCCUUCAAAGAAAGCGUAAUAGCUCACUGAUCGAGUCUUCCUGCGCGGAAGAUGUAACGGGGCUAAGUCAAUAACCGAAGCCGCGGAUUCGCAGCAAUGCGAGUGGUAGGGGAGCGUUCUGUAAGCCUGCGAAGGCGGAUCUGCGAGGACCGCUGGAGGUAUCAGAAGUGCGAAUGCUGACAUGAGUAACGUUAAAGCGGGUGAAAAGCCCGCUCGCCGCAAGCCCAAGGUUUCCUGCUCUACGUUCAUCGGAGCAGGGUGAGUCGGCCCCUAAGGUCAGGCUGAGAAGCGUAGCUGAUGGGAAGCUGGUUAAUAUUCCAGCACCGAUUUCAAGUGCGAAGGGGGGACGGAGUCCUGAAGGUCAUCCGGGUGUUGGACAUCCCGGUUUACGAGCGUAGGAGGUUGACAGGCAAAUCCGUCAACGAAUCUCCAAGGCGAAGGAUCGAGGUUGAGAGAUCAACUGAAGUGACUGAAUGGGCUUCCAGGAAAAGCCUCUAAGCAUCAGCUUGGAAUUGACCGUACCGCAAACCGACACUGGUGGGCGAGCUGAAUAUGCUCAGGCGCUUGAGAGAACUCAGGAGAAGGAACUCGGCAAAUUGACACCGUAACUUCGGGAUAAGGUGUGCCUUUGUAGUGUGAAGAGAGAAACACUCCGAGCAUGAAGAGGCCUCAGAGAAUCGGUGGCUGCAACUGUUUACUAAAAACACAGCACUCUGCAAAGAUGAAAGUCGACGUAUAGGGUGUGAUGCCUGCCCGGUGCUGGAAGAUUAAUUGAUGGGGUGCAAGCUCCUGAUCGAAGGUAAACGGCGGCCGUAACUAUAACGGUCCUAAGGUAGCGAAAUUCCUUGUCGGGCAAGUUCCGACC